UUUAAAAUAAUUGUGUUUGCUCGCAAAUGAAAAAAAACCGACUUCAAUUACAUCGACGAGUAAUACAACGUAGAUCGACGAAAAAAUAGUCAAGUAACUACGCGUUAUCAAAGAUUACUCAAAAAGUAGUUAUCAGAUCUCAAUAAAAUGUAUAUGUGACCACAUGACAAACAUCAGCUUUCGAUUAAAUUAAAAAUUAUUAAAAUCGGUACACCCAGUAAAAAGUUAUUGCGGAUUUUCAAGAGUUUCCCUCGAUUUCUCUGGGAUCCUAUUAUCAGAUCCUGGUUUCCUUAUCAUGGUACUAAACUAGGGAUAUCUCCUUUCCAACAAAAAAAGAAUUAUCAAAAUCAGUACAUCCAGUAGAAAGUUAUGUGGUAUAAUACAAAGUAGGUCGACGAAAAAAGCGUCAAGUAAAAACGCAUUAUUAGAUAUAACUCGAAAAGUAGUUGUUAGAUCUCAAAUAAAUUUAAAUGGGACCAAUUGGCACACACCACCUUUUGAUUAAAACAAAAUUUGUCGAAGUCGGUCUACCCGGUCAAAAGUUCUGAUGUAACAUACAUAAAA
This 564-nucleotide unclassified non-coding RNA is filed under the name Melitaea cinxia (Glanville fritillary). RNAcentral describes it as "misc RNA ENSMCXG00005002016.1". The record is from RNAcentral. Lineage: Eukaryota; Metazoa; Arthropoda; Insecta; Lepidoptera; Nymphalidae.